AUGGGAACUGCAAGUUCUUUCACGGCGUUACUUGAACUGCCGGCGAAUCAAGCGGUGGAGCUUUUAGUACAUUCAUUGGAAACCGACAAAACCGGUGAACCUCACAUACCUCACUAUCGUUAUCCUCCUCCUCCUCCGCCGCCCAUUUUUCCUUCGGAUGCAGCUUUGAUUGACAGAGCUUUUAAGUUCUCCGUCUUCGCCGCCGCCGCCGGAAUUUCGCCGGAGUCUAAUUCAACUCUUUCCAAUUCAGGUUCAAAAUCACUUUUAGUCAAACAAGAACCUCUAGAUUCCGAAUUUAACCAGAAUUCAUCGCCAAUUACCGUUUCCAAUCCGACGGUUAAUCAAAAAACAACUAAGAGAAAGGAACGUGAGAAAAAGGUAAUUUCCACACCACCGUAGCCUCUAUCCUAUUUUAUAUGACACUUUAUUCUUAUUCUGUAUCCAGUCAAAUAAACUCACUUAGAUUUUGGUAUCAGAAGGAGUAAUAAGUUAAUUUUAAAACUUUUAAUUUUACUCUUACUGAGAUAAUUUACAGCCACACAAAUAUUUAUGGCUUUUUUUUAUAUUACAAGUUUCAAAUCCAUGCCCAUGAAACACUAAUUUUCACUAAUUUGGUAGGAACAAAAUUGCAACUUAUUAUACUUUACGUUUUUUCUACUAUUUAAUUUCUAAGAAAUGUGAAAUGAAUUUUGGACCAAAGUAGUAUAUGAAUUUCCAGUUUGUUCAGUAAUUUCUGUGAAAUUCAGGUAAAAGAAACCAGUAGCAAAAAGGGCAAAAAAUCAACGAAUAAUACCUCAGAAGAUGAUGCGGAGAAGCUUCCAUACGUUCACGUCCGAGCUCGUAGAGGCCAAGCGACAGACAGCCAUAGCUUAGCAGAAAGAGUAAGACUCAAAUAUUAAGCGCAAUUAGUGUUUUGCUAAAUUUGGUGAUUAUAUC
RNAcentral lists this long non-coding RNA (936 nucleotides) under Nicotiana tabacum (common tobacco). RNAcentral's name for it is "long non-coding RNA (NTAB_LNC007065)". Lineage: Eukaryota; Viridiplantae; Streptophyta; Magnoliopsida; Solanales; Solanaceae. The record is from RNAcentral.